This 556-nucleotide ribosomal RNA is filed under the name Microbotryomycetes sp. GA10M01. RNAcentral's name for it is "eukaryotic LSU rRNA". The stretch from base 116 to 269 matches the Rfam family "5.8S ribosomal RNA". The record is from RNAcentral. Lineage: Eukaryota; Fungi; Basidiomycota; Microbotryomycetes.
ACCUUCAUUUCUAACCCUGUGAACUUAUUCAGAAUAGUAAUUUGACUUCUGUCGGUUAUUAUUCUUUUUAUUAAAACGCUUGUAAUAGAAUGUAAAUAAAACUAUAACAAAGAAAAACUUUCAACAACGGAUCUCUUGGCUCUCGCAUCGAUGAAGAACGCAGCGAAAUGUGAUAAGUAAUGUGAAUUGCAGAAUUCAGUGAAUCAUCGAAUCUUUGAACGCAUCUUGCGCUCCUUGGUAUUCCGAGGAGCAUGCCUGUUUGAGUGUCAUGAAUUCUUCAACCCACACUUUUUCUUAGUAAAUUGAGUGGUGCUUGGAUUUUGAUUGUUUGCUAGGUCUCACGACUUUGGCUCAAUCGUAAUAUAUUAGCAAUUCUAACCUAUAAUUGGAUUGACUCGGUGUAAUAGACUAUUCGCUGAGGAGUACUUGCUCGCAAGUGGCCAAAUAUAAAAUUGACUUUGCUUCUAAUCAGACUUUCUUAGUCAACCUUUUUAAGAUUAGACCUCAAAUCAAGUAGGACUACCCGCUGAACUUAAGCAUAUCAAUAAGCGGAGGA